CCUACGGGAGGCUGCAGUGAGGAAUAUUGGUCAAUGGGCGCGAGCCUGAACCAGCCAAGUCGCGUGAAGGAAGACGGCCCUAUGGAUUGUAAACCUCUUUUUUAGGGGAGCAAAACGCGCCACGCGUGGCUUUCUGAGAGUACCCUAAGAAAAAGCAUCGGCUAACUCCGUGCCAGCAGCCGCGGUAAUACGGCGGAUGCGGGCGUUAUCCGGAUUUAUUGGGUUUAAAGGGGGCGGAGAUGGGAAGUCAAGUCAGGGGGGAAAAUGAGGAGCUCAACCGUCUGUGUGCAGUUGAAACUGGUUUUCUUGAGUGAGUGAGAGGUAGGCGGAAUGCGUGGUGUAGCGGUGAAAUGCAUAGAUAUCACGAAGAACUCCGAUUGCGAAGGCAGCAUACUGGAGCGCAACUGACGCUGAUGCACGAAAGUGUGGGUAUCGAACAGGAUUAGAUACCCGGGUAGUC
This 460-nucleotide ribosomal RNA is filed under the name uncultured bacterium. Its description in RNAcentral is "partial 16S ribosomal RNA". It matches the Rfam family "Bacterial small subunit ribosomal RNA", at positions 338 to 795 of the family's 1533-position model. The record is from RNAcentral.